This 440-nucleotide ribosomal RNA is filed under the name uncultured bacterium. RNAcentral's name for it is "partial 16S ribosomal RNA". It matches the Rfam family "Bacterial small subunit ribosomal RNA", at positions 339 to 795 of the family's 1533-position model. The record is from RNAcentral.
CUACGGGGGGCUGCAGUCGGGAAUAUUGCGCAAUGGAGGAAACUCUGACGCAGUGACACCGCGUAUAGGAAGAAGGUUUUCGGAUUGUAAACUAUUGUCGUUAGGGAAGAUAAAAGACAGUACCUAAGGAGGAAGCUCCGGCUAACUACGUGCCAGCAGCCGCGGUAAUACGUAGGGAGCAAGCGUUAUCCGGGUUUAUUGGGUGUAAAGGGUGCGUAGACGGGAAGACAAGUUAGUUGUGAAAUCCCUCGGCUUAACUGAGGAACUGCAACUAAAACUAUUUUUCUUGAGUGUUGGAGAGGAAAGUGGAAUUCCUAGUGUAGCGGUGAAAUGCGUAGAUAUUAGGAGGAACACCGGUGGCGAAGGCGACUUUCUGGACAAUAACUGACGUUGAGGCACGAAAGUGUGGGGAGCAAACAGGAUUAGAUACCCCCGUAGUC